Uranotaenia lowii is the source of this 577-nucleotide long non-coding RNA. RefSeq lists it as uncharacterized. The transcript has 3 exons. NCBI's taxonomy places the organism in Eukaryota, Metazoa, Arthropoda, Insecta, Diptera, Culicidae. The record is from RefSeq and is a predicted model, not a curated record.
AAACGAGUCCAAUUGCUAAUCGAAAGUAAUCGCCUAUUUUUGCUAAGUGAAAGCUCAGAAAUUUUGUGUGAGGUUAAGGUAGUGCCACCUCUAUCCCGGUACUACUUCUCCUAAAUAAUGAAAUGUUGCGGGUACGAAAUUGGUUCUGGGAAUGAAAUUCCUCAGAGAUGGAUGACUGCUGCCAAAACAAGACGGUAGACAGAUAAAAACAAAUCCGGAAACCGCUGACGGAAGUUUAUCAGAGGCACCAGAAUUUAAAAACAGAAAAAGGUCCCCAAUAACUAGAAGACGAAAGCCGACUCAUAAUGGAAACUCAUCACCUCGAUAAUUAAAAGAUGUCUUCCAUCCAGGCUUGGUUCCGGUUGAGGAGUGGUGGAGCCAUUCUAGGCUACAGAAGGGCCAAAUAAUCUCAGGAAAACAUAAUUUGCAGCUUUUUUAAAAUUUAACGAAAUAUGUCAUUUUUACCGGUUCACCGGUUAUUUUUCAAAAAUGUGCACCUCCAUAAUUAAUAUUGUAUUAUGACUUUUGGGAUAUGGAAAUAUUGUAAUUAAAAAUAAAUUUCUUCUGUUGUUCAAAA